Zingiber officinale is the source of this 459-nucleotide long non-coding RNA. RefSeq lists it as uncharacterized. The transcript has 4 exons. Lineage: Eukaryota; Viridiplantae; Streptophyta; Magnoliopsida; Zingiberales; Zingiberaceae. The record is from RefSeq and is a predicted model, not a curated record.
GACUCUCUUCUCUGUUCUUUCUCUGUCGCUCGCAAUCUCAGACGUCACGCGACCGAGACCGGCGACUUCUUCUUCUUUCGGUGGCGCCGGCGAGGAGGGGACCUCGGAGCUUCGACAAGAAGAAAGCGACGGAGCUCGGUUUGGGGAUUUCGCCGGCUGUCGGGAGGGAACCGAGGGCAUCGGCGUUGGAUCUGGGCAUUGACGACAGGUUGUGUGAGGUAACGCCCAUUGUUCCCUUCCGAUUUCCCUGUUUUGUUCGUCGGCAAGAACAAGUCGAGCCCUAACUUCGAUCUCGGAGCAAAUAUUGGUGUUGUGAUUCCGGCCACUACAGAUCUGCUGGGGAUUACUCUUCUACAUCAUAUCUGUGAUUUUCUCCAGCGAUUAAAGAAGAAGAGGACCUUGAUCGGCGGCGUGCCGCGUGACGUGGUGGUUCUGUUGAUUGCGGGAUAUAUCGAGGCG